AUUUUAAAAUGUUUAUAUUUCAGGGAGAGAAUAUUUUCAAUUUCCCUAGGUUCGAACUGAGGCCGCAGCAUCCUUCUAAGAUUUUAAAAACAAUAAAAAGGUAAACUAUCAACUCCGGCCGAAUGAGCAGUUUAAAAUUAAAUUUUAAACAAAAGUUUUUAUUGUUGUGUGGCAUGUUUGUUCAUAACAUCAAUAAAUGUUUUCCAAAGAUAA
Molecule: long non-coding RNA, 213 nt
Organism: Cimex lectularius (bed bug)
Lineage: Eukaryota; Metazoa; Arthropoda; Insecta; Hemiptera; Cimicidae
Exons: 2
Source: RefSeq, a predicted model, not a curated record